RNAcentral lists this transfer RNA (74 nucleotides) under Actinoplanes lutulentus. RNAcentral's name for it is "tRNA-Leu". It matches the Rfam family "tRNA". From Rfam's summary of the family: Transfer RNA (tRNA) molecules are approximately 80 nucleotides in length. Their secondary structure includes four short double-helical elements and three loops (D, anti-codon, and T loops). Lineage: Bacteria; Bacillati; Actinomycetota; Actinomycetes; Micromonosporales; Micromonosporaceae. The record is from RNAcentral.
GCGCUCGUGGCCCAACUGGCAGAGGCACACGGUUCAGGACCGUGACGGUGAGGGUUCGAAUCCCUCCGAGCGUA